RNAcentral lists this long non-coding RNA (706 nucleotides) under Parus major (Great Tit). Its description in RNAcentral is "lncRNA (ENSPMJG00000000047.1)". Lineage: Eukaryota; Metazoa; Chordata; Aves; Passeriformes; Paridae. The record is from RNAcentral.
UCCUGUUAUUUUUUGAUUGUUUAUAAUGUUGCUAGUUUCUUUGUUCAUUUUUCUUUUUUCUUUUCUUUUUGUUAAACUAAAAAGGAUAUGAUGUCGCCCUGAAAACUCAGCUUCUGAGCUUGCUAACAUAGUUUUCUAAGGACUUUCCCAGGACAGUAACUGUAAACAUAGAUAUGUAUACAUUCUUUCUGUUACACGUCUUGUGAUGGGCAUCUCUCAAGGCCAGUGCAGUGAGAAAGUGUUAUCCUGACCAUCCAAUCCCUGGCCAUGGUCAGAAGCCUAUAAAUCCUGGGAGGAAAAAUAAACUCUGCCCUUUCUUCCACCACACCUCGACCUGUGUCCACGUGAUCUAUUCAUCUUCAGCGGUAACAAUUGUCCUGCAGAUAGAGAGGCACAGCAAUCAAAACCAAAGAGUCAGCUUGGAACAUGAGAGACAAAGAAGAAAACUGCAACACCACUGAAGUCUUUAUGAAUUCCCCAAACUGCAAUUUAUUCCAAAGAAAUCAUCUGCAAAAGGUGUCUAGUGCCCUGGUUGAGUUACUGAAGAGGAGUCCAAAUGCCUUGACACCCCAAACUUAGAUGCUACUAUGCUAAUCCUGUUGUAUUACAGAUACUUUAAUUGUCUACAGAAAGUCAGAAGAUGGUCUGAUUUGUGACAACAGCAAAACAGUAUUUUGCAAUAAACUCAAUAAAGGUGUAAUAAAAC